AACAGGGUCAUCAACCCUAGGAACUCACCUGUCAGAGGGGAAAGCACCUGCCAGCUCUAAGGUCAUCCCAGCAGGGUGAUGAGCUGGCCACCCGCAGCUGCUAUGGGGCUGGUUGGGCUCAGCUCUCAUCUGGAUUGGUGGGUGCUCUGCACCUGUGCUGAGCAGAGCACUGAGCUCAGUGGCUGGUUAGCCCUGUGCUUCACUUUCUGCCUUCCUUUGUACACAUCAGAGUGUUGACCUGGUGACUGUUCAUUUUGGAAUGCUUUUUUGUGCCUCUAUCUACUUCAUCGAGGACAGUACUCAGACAGCCAACUUUGGGUGUUGCUAUGUUCUACUUGCAGGGCAAGCCCCAAUUCUCAAGACUAUGUGCCCUCUCUGUGCCCUCUCUGCCAGCUAUUCUGCUGCAUUUUCUCCCCUUGGUCCUUUUGUGUCUGCUUAGCCUCUCCUAGAGCAGAAACAGCCCAGGGACCAUACUCUGCAAAGAGCACUCUCAGAUCAUCCAACCUUUACCUGCUGUAAGGUAGGAAAAGGUGUCUGCCAGCCCCCAGAAGAGGAAAGGCUUCUAGCACUAUCUGGCAGCACAGCUUGAUCCUGGCAGAAUGGGCAGAGGAGGGAUCUGGCAAGAACAGGCUGCACCCCCUGAGCUCCUCCUAGCAUACGCAGGUGGGAGAAAAUUGUACUACACAACCACGGAGACCAUGGAAACUCAAUGCUUCUGAUUGUGUGACAAUUUAUAUUGGCACUUCGGUCACUACACUCACAUAGUCGUUGACCGACAUCGGCAAGUGAAGGACAACAAAAAGAAGCCAUGAAUAUGGAUGUCCACAAUAAAAAAUUUUGCUUACACAGACAAAACCUUCUACACAUCCUGCAGCAGCAGCAAAGCACUGGACAGACAAACAGACAGCACUGGAUAGUGCCCUGGAAUGAUGCUGUGUGUUCUAGGUCAGCAAGAACUUCUGAUGUGUUGGACAGGAGCCAGACACUGUCAGUAAAAGGAACAGUGAAGUCUGUGUCCCUCCCACCUCUCCUGAAGUGCUUCCCACCUUGGCCAAAAGCCAAGGUGCCAGGCGUGGUGGGGUUCUUGUCCUGACUCCUCGCUGUGGCACCUCCCAGGGGGCUGGAUGCCUGUUGUACAUUAACUAACCUGUACUAUGGAAGAAGGGUCAUGUGUGCAACCUGGAGAAAAAACAGAACACCAAAAAAACCACUGAGUCAUCUGUGCUAAGUGUUUCAGACCUGAGCUGACCCAGUUUUCUGUGGAAUUAUGUUUCUACACAGGGCAGGGUCACCCCAUGGGGUGAAAUGCUGGUACAAACGAUGCCGUUGUGCUGCACACAAGAGCUUUAUUAGGAAGAUCCAUGUUACAAGGCCUUGAUUUGUCUGUCAUCUGAUCCUUUCUGAAUAUGCUGUCAAUGUAGUUGAUUUCAAAAUAAUCUCUGUAUUGUUUGGGUCUGCCUUGGUGUAGCAUGACAUUCAGGAUUCCUUUACAGGCAACUGUGCAGAGCAGGAAAAUCUAUGUGAAAUGCUUCCUACUGGAGUCACCAUCUGGCCAAUAUUCAUCUUGUUUAGUGAAAUACCAAGAUAUCCAUAGAACGCAGGUGUUAAUGCAGAUCAUAAGGCACAAGUGACCGCAGUAAUAAACCAACAUGAAAUGAAAUGUAAUUAAUGCA
RNAcentral lists this long non-coding RNA (1673 nucleotides) under Parus major (Great Tit). RNAcentral describes it as "lncRNA (ENSPMJG00000016369.1)". Lineage: Eukaryota; Metazoa; Chordata; Aves; Passeriformes; Paridae. The record is from RNAcentral.